GUGCACAUGUGUAGUCAGCCGGCAUUUUUCGAGUUGUGUUGUAAAUGUUGUUAAUUCGCCGUAAAUAUCUCUUGAUUUGUGCUCAAGAGUGGAGCAAGACCCCAAGGAAGAGAGAUUGACGCAUCGGGAGCGAAGAACAGAAACGAUGGAUGGUUACGCUGCUUGGGUCUCGGCACGUUCGAAUUGGCAAAGUUCCGAAUUUGUCGCUGUGUUGUGUGCGCUUGUGCGCUCGUCAUUUGCCGUCAUCGCGCGGAGAUAUUUGCGCUGGAUGUCUUUCACUUCGUGUACAAAACUCUGCACGCUGCGGCAUCGAAGAAGUUGUCCUGUGUUUGGGUGCACGUAUGCGCUUGGACACGGAUAGCCUGCUUGCUCUCAACGGGUGUUCAACAGUCUACGCGCGCUCGUAACUUGCUCAUGAGGCAAGUUGCUGUUGUGCUGGAGCUGAGAAGAGGUCUGCCGCCUGCAAUGGGUCCAUCUCUCUCAAGUUAUUGCAGUAUUGUAGCUCACAAGGUUCAAAAAAAGUAGGGUGGAAGCUGUUGCCAAGGUUCCGACCAGAAAAGACAGCCAGUAUAAAAGGGUCCACGCCACUGAUCUCUACUACAGGGGAUGAACAGCACAUCGAGCGCCCUCGACUAAAGCCGGCCUUGUCCCGGAAGUUGGUGCUUCACAACUUUGCGGCACCACUUUGUUGCAUGGCCUGUGGAGACAAGGUUUCUUAGACAUGGCCAUGGCCCUCAAGGAAGAUGCCGAGGCCACAGGCAGUUCCUCCAGUGACCGUGAAAAGGUCCCCUGGGGCACAAGUCUGGUUUGGCACCCCCACCUUUCUCCUGCAGCUUUUCUGUCUACUUAGCUAACCAGCAGCAAGUUUAUCCUUGCAAGCGUUUGGAGUCAAGAACAACUUUCACCAGGAAGAAGUGCGAGACGAGUGAUUGAAGAAAAUAAAGUUGCUUCUGUG
Molecule: long non-coding RNA, 955 nt
Organism: Dermacentor albipictus
Lineage: Eukaryota; Metazoa; Arthropoda; Arachnida; Ixodida; Ixodidae
Source: RefSeq, a predicted model, not a curated record